This 460-nucleotide ribosomal RNA is filed under the name uncultured bacterium. Its description in RNAcentral is "partial 16S ribosomal RNA". It matches the Rfam family "Bacterial small subunit ribosomal RNA", at positions 338 to 795 of the family's 1533-position model. The record is from RNAcentral.
CCUACGGGGUGCAGCAGUGAGGAAUAUUGGUCAAUGGACGAGAGUCUGAACCAGCCAAGUAGCGUGAAGGAUGACUGCCCUAUGGGUUGUAAACUUCUUUUAUAUGGGAAUAAAAUGUUCCACGUGUGGGAUUUUGUAUGUACCAUAUGAAUAAGGAUCGGCUAACUCCGUGCCAGCAGCCGCGGUAAUACGGAGGAUCCGAGCGUUAUCCGGAUUUAUUGGGUUUAAAGGGAGCGUAGGUGGAUUGUUAAGUCAGUUGUGAAAGUUUGCGGCUCAACCGUAAAAUUGCAGUUGAAACUGGCAGUCUGGAGUACAGUAGAGGUGGGCGGAAUUCGUGGUGUAGCGGUGAAAUGCUUAGAUAUCACGAAGAACUCCGAUUGCGAAGGCAGCUCACUGGACUGCAACUGACACUGAGGCGCGAAAGUGUGGGUAUCAAACAGGAUUAGAUACCCUUGUAGUC